CUUACACAUGCAAGUCGAACGGUAACAGGUCUUCGGACGCUGACGAGUGGCGAACGGGUGAGUAAUACAUCGGAACGUGCCCAGUCGUGGGGGAUAACUACUCGAAAGAGUAGCUAAUACCGCAUACGAUCUGAGGAUGAAAGCGGGGGACCUUCGGGCCUCGCGCGAUUGGAGCGGCCGAUGGCAGAUUAGGUAGUUGGUGGGAUAAAAGCUUACCAAGCCGACGAUCUGUAGCUGGUCUGAGAGGACGACCAGCCACACUGGGACUGAGACACGGCCCAGACUCCUACGGGAGGCAGCAGUGGGGAAUUUUGGACAAUGGGCGAAAGCCUGAUCCAGCAAUGCCGCGUGCAGGAUGAAGGCCUUCGGGUUGUAAACUGCUUUUGUACGGAACGAAAAAGCUUCUCCUAAUACGAGAGGCCCAUGACGGUACCGUAAGAAUAAGCACCGGCUAACUACGUGCCAGCAGCCGCGGUAAUACGUAGGGUGCGAGCGUUAAUCGGAAUUACUGGGCGUAAAGCGUGCGCAGGCGGUUAUGUAAGACAGAUGUGAAAUCCCCGGGCUCAACCUGGGAACUGCAUUUGUGACUGCAUGGCUAGAGUACGGUAGAGGGGGAUGGAAUUCCGCGUGUAGCAGUGAAAUGCGUAGAUAUGCGGAGGAACACCGAUGGCGAAGGCA
This 678-nucleotide ribosomal RNA is filed under the name uncultured beta proteobacterium. RNAcentral describes it as "bacterial SSU rRNA". It matches the Rfam family "Bacterial small subunit ribosomal RNA", at positions 48 to 723 of the family's 1533-position model. Lineage: Bacteria; Pseudomonadati; Pseudomonadota; Betaproteobacteria. The record is from RNAcentral.